Molecule: long non-coding RNA, 265 nt
Filed under: Sus scrofa (pig)
Lineage: Eukaryota; Metazoa; Chordata; Mammalia; Artiodactyla; Suidae
Description: lncRNA (ENSSSCG00070017788.1)
Source: RNAcentral
UGGGCCUGUGGUACAAUAUUCGAUUCUCUAUUUGCACCAGUGUAAAAAGGGAUAUGGAAGUAAUUCUGUGUCUGUCCAAGAGAGCCUUAUAGAGGUAGCCUGUACCCCAAUUAGAGAGAGCCAUUCCGCCAAGCUCUUUACCCAGGAACUAUACUCAGCAUCUCAGCAUCAAGCCACCAUAGCUUUGAACUGCCUGCGAGCAUCUGUGGUUUACCUCGGUUUAUUUUGUGCGUCCUUCGGCAAGAUGUAUCCUAAGGCGUUUUAA